UUUGGUCAUAUAAGCAUUCAAAGUACGCAAAGUCAACGAAAGCAAGUAAAGCCAGCCAGCAUUGGGUCUGGACCUUUAGUUCUGUACGCUUAACUAAAGAGAAAGUUACAAAUAUCUGAAAUUCCAGCUGUUUUAUUCUAAUUCCUGAUUAUGGUACUAGCUUACGAGUGCUGAUUAUAAACCGAAAAUAUUUACUAUAUUGCGAAAACAUAACAACCACGUGGCCCCCAAAUGCAAUACGUGCCGUAUAUAAAUAAGGUGAUUCAGUUUAUCUACAAACUACAAUUUACUCGAAUGUGCCACUUGGAGACGCGCUGCGCUGAUGCUCGCUAACGCUAUUAAUGGUAUUCCAAUUGAAUCACGCAGAGCGGGUUAAGGUUAUCACAAGAAUUUUGGCUUAGGGUUUUAUCACUAUUUACAUAUUUACAUGUACUCGAUAUGCAGAACAGAAGCUGGAAGCUCGACUACUGCUCAUCUACUUCUAGGACGUGUACUUUUAUCAUACACAUACUCUAUUUAUAUAUAUUUAUUUUUCAAUUUCAUUUCCUUUCCCCUCACCCUUGUUCCAAAACAAGUCGUUCACUUGGAGCAAAGUAUCGGUGGUGCAUACACGCCGUCAUGCGGAAAGUCACGUUUGGAAGGUGACUCACGAGAUGGAACUCACACCGGGACGUUGCCAUGUGCUCCAGUUAUCCAUGCUUGACUCAACUCAGCUUAGACAAAUUUGGCUUCAAAAACUUAGAUGCAGUUAUACUUCACACAACUUCAACCUCAGCUGUUAUUAUUAUAGUUCCUGGGUAGAGUUGCCAGAUGUGCAGAUUUAUCUUUAAAAUUAUGUUUUUUAAAUUAAAAUAGCAUCAAGAUUGAAGAUUUUAAAACUGGUAUCCAAAAAAAUCUGUACUAUCAAGAAAUCUGUGAACAUGCGGAAAGUCACAUUUAGAAGGAGACUCACGAGAUGGAACUCACGCCGGGACGUUGGCAUGUGCGUAUGCGUGCGAAAAAUACCGUUGGCUGGUCGGCAUUUUCCGCGCAGCAUGAUUUCGUAAUUAAUGAUAAUGAAAGUGAUGCGGUGGAUGCUUACGGUGAUGUUGAUAAUGAAGUGGUCCUAUCAAGCCGCGAUAGUUUGGAGGAGAGAAGAGGAAUUAUUCAGCAACAACAAUUACACCCGAAAUAACAACAUCGUUGGAAUACACCGACGCCCAAUAACAACAAAAUCAGUGCACCCAAAAACAAGUUUGCACAUCGGUCACCACCAACAAGUAAAACCCAAAUAAUUAUUAAAUCACCCUUAAUUAUUGAAAGCGAAAGUCAUCAACAAACAACACAAAAACCCGCACAAAACAAAAAUCUACAAAGAUGAAAUAGUUUACACUCUCGAAAUCAAAAGAGUCGAACUCAACUCGCUUUACGAUAAAGCAAAGAAAGCAUAUAAUACAAUUCGCAGAGUAUCUAGUGAUACCCGAGAAACCAUCGAUUUUACUAAAGUCAAAGAUAGAUAUAAAAAAUGCUAUCAAAUGUACCUCUCUUGUUUAGCUUCAAUUAAUGAAAAUAUAGACACACGAAAAACCCAGGUGUCAACCCAACCCAUUAAGGAAAGAGCCUCAGAAUCCUCUACAAUAGAUUUCGGUCCCACGAUUAAUCUACCGCCAUGCGACACCGACAUCUUUUACGGGGAUUACACGGCUUGGCCCACAUUUCGUGACAUGUUCACCGCCCUGUAUAUACAUAACCCAAAGAUCAGUAACGUCGAAAAACUCUUUCAUCUAACCCAGAUGACCCGAGGCGAAGCAAGAGAAGCUAUCAAAAACACACCCCUAACAAACGAUGGUUUCAUACUGGCCUGGAAGAAUCUGGUCGAGCAGUAUGAAAAUAAGAGAAUGCAGAUAAACACCCAAUUGAAGACCCUCUUUAAUUUACCCGAUGUCACUCAAGAAACAGGCUGCGCCAUAAAAGCCCUGCAACGAACGGUUAACAACGUUUUAACCAAUUUAACCCAUCUUGAGAUUGACACAAAAAGUUGGGACCCGAUACUGAUAUAUCUUUGUAGUUCGAAACUACCGAAACAGACUCUAGAAGCAUUCGAAUCUACCCUAGAAGAUAUUACUUCUAUACCCACAUGGUCAAAUUUCGACAAUUUCUUGACCCAUAAGCAAAACACCCUCGAAUCUGUAGCAAAUUUCAAGGCUUCAGUAACAAAACUCCACUCAUCCCACCUUGGAUCAGUAAAAAAGACUGACGGAAACAAAUAUUACACAUUUCAUGCCAACGUGUCAGAAAACCUACUAGCUGGGCCCUCAAAUUAUCAAAACAGAUACACUUCUUCUCAACCCCACCCGGAAGCAGAAAGUUGCAAACUUUGCAAUAAACAUCACCCGAUUCGGGAAUGCCCCAAAUUCCUAGAAAUGAAUGUUGAGACCCGUAUAUCGACAAUUAAAAGGCAUGGUUAUUGCAAUAACUGCUUAGCAAUCUCACACAGCUACAAGAACUGUAGUAGUAAAAACACUUGUCGCAAAUGUCACAAAAGACAUAAUACACUGAUCCAUAGAGAAUAUAGCCCUAGACCUGAAUCCACCCCAAAUCCAGAAGCGACCAGUUCGACUUCUGAUAUUGCUAUAAGUGCCCCAAUACCCACCCACAACACAAUUCAACCCAAGUGACUGGAAUAACCAACACGGUUUUGGCAACCCCCACGAAAACUUGCAAUAUAACCCUUUGUUCACCCAUAAACACAAAUUACAAAAUAUCGGCUCGAGCAUUCAUCAUGAAUAGCCUUUCCGAUAAUGUACCCACUCACCCAAUAAACCCAAAUCUUUGUCUAAAUAAUCUUGGCUUCACCCUAGCGAAUACCCAAUUCCACAAACCGAGACCCGUGGACAUAUUAAUUGGUAGUGAUAUCUAUCCAAAUAUCCUACUAGGUGGAGUAAAACGAGACAUUCUAGGCUCACUCUUAGACCAAGAGACAGAAUUCGGAUGGAUUUUGACCGGACCCAUAACCCAACCCUUCCAAAACUCAUCCAUAGCAUCAUUUCACAACACUAUUAACCCUGAGUAUCUACUCACUCGCUUUGGGGAGGUGGAGGAUAUCCCAAAGGAUCCCGUAAGUCCCAAAUCUGAUGAAAUAUGUGAAGGAAAAUUUCAAAAAACUACCCGACGACAAUCAGAUGGGCGCUAUAUAUCAACCCUACCCACUACUCGGAAGAAAAAUAAAAGCGAUGAUCACAACACGACCCAAUCAUCAUCAAUCACCCACCAACGAAGAAAUAAAACUCAUCGUCAUGUUGCAUGCGGAUUGUGCAAGGAUGACCACCGGUUAGCCACAUGUACCAGAUACUUGUCGGCUAACUUACACAAAAAAUUGGAAGCAGUCCUCAACCACCGCUAUUGCGUUAACUGGAAGGAUGCACAAGUAGGAAUGUUCUACCUGCAAUGGGAAGCAUCAUUCAACCCUACAUGGACACCCAAGCCUACACCCAGCCAACGAGAAAGAAGUUUUUGAGAAACCAAGAUCUCAAACGCUACCCACAGAAACCCGGCUACCAUCCUUACUGGCUAAACAGACCCUUACACACUUUUAAAUCCGACCCUUAAGAGACUUAAGUGACGUUGAUCAAAUACUCUUUGACAACAUAGUCCUCUCUGACCCUCAAUUUCACACCCAUACAGAAGUAAUGUGGGAUAUCGGAGCGCAUAACUAUCCACACAAUACACGAAGUGGAUUGUUCAACCCAGACAAUGGCACCGUGGUAACCCAGAGCAUAACAUUCAUAUAGACCCUAACUUGCACCCUAAUAUAAAUACUGCAAGGCGGCCGGGAUGUUUAGUCCAAACAAAUACUCCUCUGCAUCACUCUCCAAAAAGUAAUAGAAGUAAUGCAGAGGAGUACAACCACCCCAAUUUCACUUAUCACCGAUCACUUCUCACACAACAAUAAAAAGAAAACAAAUAGAAGAAAAAGGUGAACAAGUCAACAAUACGAACAAGUACCCGCGCUUUAAAAAUAAGUGCUACAAUAAACUCAACACGAACCCAAAACCCGCGCUAAUAAAGUGAAGCGAACGAAAACCCGAAAACACAUAAUUAUAGGAAAAUAUAAAAUCCACAAAACACAAACACGCACGAAUUAAAAUGUAACCAAGUAGGAGAA
Zeugodacus cucurbitae (melon fly) is the source of this 4144-nucleotide RNA transcript. RefSeq lists it as uncharacterized. Lineage: Eukaryota; Metazoa; Arthropoda; Insecta; Diptera; Tephritidae. The record is from RefSeq and is a predicted model, not a curated record. The transcript has 3 exons.